RNAcentral lists this ribosomal RNA (408 nucleotides) under uncultured bacterium. RNAcentral describes it as "partial 16S ribosomal RNA". It matches the Rfam family "Bacterial small subunit ribosomal RNA", at positions 28 to 526 of the family's 1533-position model. The record is from RNAcentral.
GACGAACGCUGGCGGCGUGCUUAACACAUGCAAGUCGAACGAAGUGGCGAACGGGUGAGUAAUGCGUAAUCAACCUGCCCUUCAGAGGGGGUCAACAGUUGGAAACGACUCCUAAUACCGCACCCUGCUGGAGGGGACUGUGUUUGCUUAGCUAGGUGGCGGGGUAACGGCCCACCAAGGCGAUGAUCAGUAUCCGGUCUGGGAGGGUGGACGGCCACAUUGGGAAUGAGACACGGCCCAGACUCCUACGAGAGGCAGCAGUGGGGAAUCGUCCGCAAUGGGCGGAAGUCUGACGGAGCAACGCCGCGGGAGUGAUGACGGCCUUCGGGUUGUAAAGCUCUGUUAAGCGGGACGCGGUACCGGAAUAGAAAGCCACGGCUAACUACGUGCCAGCAGCCGCGGUAAUAC